Acanthaster planci (crown-of-thorns starfish) is the source of this 256-nucleotide long non-coding RNA. The record is from RefSeq and is a predicted model, not a curated record. NCBI's taxonomy places the organism in Eukaryota, Metazoa, Echinodermata, Asteroidea, Valvatida, Acanthasteridae.
CGAGGCACGCACAAGGUAGUAUAUGCAAUGUAGACGUAUUUAGCUUGAUUACUGAAGUACAUAUGGCCAAUUUCGAGAAACCCAGCUUAUCUUGCGACUCACUUUAAUACUUCAGUGAGAGAGUUGAACCAAAUGAUUGAGCAGAACAUCACAACUGACUGUAUUACAGAAACGUUCAAGGUGAGAGUAAACUGAGGCAGGCUCCAACUCCAGAAGCUAAGAACCAGAAUGACGCCCUUUCGAUCCAUCAGUUGAG